AAGAAAGCUUGCUUUCUUUGCUGGCGACCGGCGCACGGGUGAGUAACACGUAUCCAACCUACCCUUUACUCGGGGAUAGCCUUUCGAAAGAAAGAUUAAUACCCGAUAGCAUAAUGAUUCCGCAUGGUUUCAUUAUUAAAGGAUUCCGGUAAAGGAUGGGGAUGCGUUCCAUUAGGUUGUUGGUGGGGUAACGGCCCACCAAGCCUUCGAUGGAUAGGGGUUCUAAGAGGAAGGUCCCCCACAUUGGAACUGAGACACGGUCCAAACUCCUACGGGAGGCAGCAUG
This 286-nucleotide ribosomal RNA is filed under the name uncultured bacterium. Its description in RNAcentral is "partial 16S ribosomal RNA". It matches the Rfam family "Bacterial small subunit ribosomal RNA", at positions 72 to 353 of the family's 1533-position model. The record is from RNAcentral.